UACAUGAUCUGGCCUACAUGUGACUGCAGACCCACAGCAAUAUGAUUGACUUUGAACUGUCCCCUGGGCAAUUAGGGAUGGACAAUAAACACUGCGUAGCUAGGGAUGUCCUCCUCCCAUUAACAAAUAAAUAAAAUUGGAUUCUACAUCUUCCGAUCCAAGAUCGUUUCUUGCUCUCGUACUAAUUUCUUUGCUUACAGUCACUUUCCCUCCUGCCUGUCUUUUUGGAAUGUCGUAUAGCCCUGCGCACUUAGCUCCAGUGUUGAUCUCCUUGUACCCAUGUCUUUGUAAUAGCUAUAAAAUCAUGCCCGUCAACCUAGAAAUGUGCUAUUAAUUUGUUGAUUUUGUUCUGAAUACAAUGAGCACGCAAGCAAAGAGCCAUGAAUUUAGCUUUAUCACUUGAUUUCACCUCUUGACACUAUUUACAGCUGUUUUCUGUUUGUACAUGCUGUCUUUUCCAGUACCACGCUGAGUAUUGUUAUCCCGAUAGUUCUUUCGUAUCAGUCCGUGUGUAUUCCUGGGCGAAUGUGCUCGUGUGGUCUCAGGAGUUGCGGAGGUCACGGCUCUGGGACAGCCGUUUCAUCGCCCUAUGCUGCAGGAAAAAAGCAAUGAAAGUGCCGUUAAUUUUUUGCAUGGCGAGCUGCUGCAUACUAACCGGUCUCUCACCAUUACCAACACCUUGCCCUUGUGAAGGCAGAUAUGGAUAAGGUUCUCAAAGCUGAUAGAAGAUUGAAACCACUCUAAUCCUGUGACGAUCAUUCUGAUGUCGGUAACUGGAAAGCCUCCAUUGUUGGAGGACGAGAAGCCGUAUCCAAUUGAAGCAGCACAGGCUUCUGCGAUGACUGUGGAAACCACUGCUUAUGCCUUGCUUCAAGCAUUGUCAAGGAACGAUAUUGACUAUGCAACACCGAUUGCGAGGUGGCUAA
Molecule: long non-coding RNA, 926 nt
Organism: Stegostoma tigrinum
Lineage: Eukaryota; Metazoa; Chordata; Chondrichthyes; Orectolobiformes; Stegostomatidae
Exons: 3
Source: RefSeq, a predicted model, not a curated record